Molecule: transfer RNA, 77 nt
Filed under: Shewanella putrefaciens
Lineage: Bacteria; Pseudomonadati; Pseudomonadota; Gammaproteobacteria; Alteromonadales; Shewanellaceae
Description: tRNA-Asp
Source: RNAcentral
GGCACUUGCUUUAUCUCUAUGGUGCGCCAGAUAAAACCACAGGUUUAGGUAUGGGGGCAUCGGCGAUGAUCUAUCAA